RNAcentral lists this ribosomal RNA (253 nucleotides) under uncultured bacterium. RNAcentral describes it as "partial 16S ribosomal RNA". It matches the Rfam family "Bacterial small subunit ribosomal RNA", at positions 524 to 776 of the family's 1533-position model. The record is from RNAcentral.
UACGUAGGGUGCAAGCGUUACUCGGAAUUACUGGGCGUAAAGCGUGCGCAGGCGGCUUUGCAAGACAGAUGUGAAAUCCCCGGGCUCAACCUGGGAACUGCAUUUGUGACUGCAUCGCUGGAGUGCGGCAGAGGGGGAUGGAAUUCCGCGUGUAGCAGUGAAAUCCGUAGAUAUUGGGAGGAACACCGAUGGCGUAGGCAGAUAACUGGCUCGUUCCUGACACUAAGGCACGAAAGCGUGGGGAGCAAACGGG